This 25-nucleotide microRNA is filed under the name Equus caballus (horse). Its description in RNAcentral is "eca-miR-9045". The record is from miRBase by way of RNAcentral. Lineage: Eukaryota; Metazoa; Chordata; Mammalia; Perissodactyla; Equidae.
GAGCAGCAUGCUAGGUACCAAGUUG